UUCCCUGGUAGUUGGCGAACGACCGGGAAUUAGCCCAGCACCGAAUCCUGUAUGUUUCAUACUAGGAAUUGUGGUGUAAAGGUUGUGUCUUUAGUUGCUUGAGUAUGCUCCAAAUUCACUUGAUUGUGAUAUUGUCCAGAGAGGGUGUUAGACCCGUUGGAGUGUACAUUGGUGAUUAUUGAUGCUUCCUAUGAGUCGGAUUGUUUGAGAAUGCAGUCCAAAUGCGGUGGUAAACUCCAUCUAAGGCUAAAUACUUGUAUGAGUCCGAUAGCAAACAAGUACCGUGAGGGAAAGUUGAAAAGAACUUUGAAGAGAGAGUUAAAUAGUACGUGAAAUCGCUUAGAGGUAAACGAGUGGAGCCGAAAAGAUCGGAUGGGAUUCAGUUGGAUGUGCGAUAAUGAAGGCGUUCAGUAACAACCAUAACAGGCAUUACUGGAUCUUUAUGUAAUUGUCGUGCGUACAAUGCACUUUCUAUUCGAUUGGACUGUGACCAAUAGAAUGGUUUUUCUGUCGUAGAGUUGAAGGUGAUCAGUUGCUUGCAAUUGGUUUUAUAGCGCUUUACACGGUCAAAUCGAUGUAUUGGUGAACUAGCAAUCAGUCAAUGUUGACAAGCUGUUAUAUAUAUUAUUUGCUAAUUGACUACAUGUAGACUAUUAUCAAAUCGUGUGUGUGAUGUGCUUGUUGAUGGAUUGGUUUAAAGUCACAGUAAUAUGUAGGUUAUCUACUCGUCCCGUCUUGAAACACGGACCAAGGAGUUUUUAUAUGAUCGCGAGUCAAAGGGCUUUACGAAACCCCAGGGCGCAAUAAAUGUAAAGGUUUACUUUCGUGAACUGAGAUGUGACCUGAGUGCAAUACCUCAGUGCAAUAAUCGACCCGAUCUAAAGAUGUUCGCAUCUGGGCGGAGUUUGAGCGAUCAUGUAGGAGACCCCGAAAGAAUGGUUGAACUAUGCUUGUGCNAGGUUGAAAGUCAGAGAAAACUCUGAUGGGAGGACCGCCGCGGUUCUGACAUGCAAAUCGAUCGUUCGGACAUGAGUAUAGGGGCGAAAGACUAAUCGAACCAUCUAAGUAGCUGGUUCCCUCCGAAGUUUCCCUCAGGAUAGCUGGCGUUUGUUGUCGUAGUUUGACCUGGUAAAGCGAAUGAUUAGAAGUAUGGGGGCGAAAUGCCUUCAACUUAUUCUCAAACUUUAAAUGGGUUCGAUGUGUUACUCGCUUCAUUGGAGUUGCACGUUGAAUACGAAUGCCUAGUGGGCCAUUUUUGGUAAGCAGAACUGGCGAUGUGGGAUGAACCAAACAUCUGGUUAAGGUGCCUAACAUCACGCUCAUGAGAUCCCACAAAAGGUGUUGGUUGAUAAAGACAGCAGGACGGUGGACAUGGAAGUCGUCAUCCGCUAAGGAGUGUGUAACAACUCACCUGCCGAAUCAACCAGCCCUGAAAAUGGAUGGCGCUGUAGCGUGAGACCUAUACCGGAUCGAUAUCGUAAGUUUAUCAACGAGUAAACGGUAUCGUGUAGGAGGGUGCCGUGGUUGCUAAGAAGCUACUGGCGUGAGUCAGAGUGGAGCGGCCACGGGUACA
This 1573-nucleotide ribosomal RNA is filed under the name Choeradoplana benyai. RNAcentral describes it as "eukaryotic LSU rRNA". It matches the Rfam family "Eukaryotic large subunit ribosomal RNA", at positions 76 to 1446 of the family's 3401-position model. Lineage: Eukaryota; Metazoa; Platyhelminthes; Tricladida; Geoplanidae. The record is from RNAcentral.